GUGCUCCCUUCGGCAGCGCAUGUACUAAAAUGGGGCCAAUAUGGAGAAGAGUAGCAUAGUUCCUGCGCAAGGACAAUACGCACAUUCCUAAAGCGUUCCAUAUUAAA
Molecule: small nuclear RNA, 107 nt
Organism: Neomonachus schauinslandi (Hawaiian monk seal)
Lineage: Eukaryota; Metazoa; Chordata; Mammalia; Carnivora; Phocidae
Source: RefSeq, a predicted model, not a curated record